GAUGAACGCUGGCGGCGUGCCUAAUACAUGCAAGUCGAGUGAACGGACGAUAAGCUUGCUUCUCUGAUGUUAGCGGCGGACGGGUGAGUAACACGUGGAUAACCUAUCUAUAAGACUGGGAUAACUGCGGGAAACCGUAGCUAAUACCGGAUAAUAUUUUGAACCGCAUGGUUCAAAAGUGAAAGACGGUCUUGCUGUCACUUAUAGAUGGAUCCGCGCCGGAUUAGCUAGUUGGUAAGGUAACGGCUCACCAAGGCAACGAUGCAUAGCCGAGCUGAGAGGAUGAUCAGCCACACUGGAACGGAGACACGGUCCAGAGUCGUACGGGAGGCAGCAGUAAGGAAGAUUGCUAAAGGGGAGAAAUCCUGAAGCAGCAACGCCGCGUGAGGGACGAAGGGCUUUUGCUUGUAAACAUCUGGAGUGAGAGAAAAAAAUACCAAUCUUUGGGACAUGAUGGUAGCUCAAAAGUAAGCCCCGGCUAACUACGUG
Molecule: ribosomal RNA, 489 nt
Filed under: uncultured bacterium
Lineage: Bacteria
Description: partial 16S ribosomal RNA
Rfam family: Bacterial small subunit ribosomal RNA
Source: RNAcentral